This 773-nucleotide non-coding RNA is filed under the name Luehdorfia japonica. The record is from RNAcentral. Lineage: Eukaryota; Metazoa; Arthropoda; Insecta; Lepidoptera; Papilionidae.
AUAAAAAUUUAUGAUUUAAAAAAUUUAAUUUAAAUUUAUUUUACAUAUAAAUUUUAGUAUGAAUUUAUAAUUAUUUUAAUAAUAAUAAUAAGUUAUUUAUAGUAAUUAAUAUUAAAAAUUUAAGAAAUUAAGAUUUAGUAAUAUUAAAAUUAUUAACAAAUUUUGUGCCAGCAGUUGCGGUUAUACAAAAAAUAAUUUAAAUUUUAUCAGUAUAUAAUUAUUAAUAAAUAAUUUAAUUUAAAUAUUAAAUUAUUAGGUAAAAUUUUAAUUUAAUUAAAAUUUAUUUAAAAUUUAUGAUUUAUUAAAUUUUAUAAAAAACUAGGAUUAGAUACCCUAUUAUUAAAAAUUAAAUUUAUAAUACUAAAAUAGUAAAUAAUAAUUUAUUGAAACUUAAAUAAUUUGGCGGUAUUUUAGUACAUUUAGAGGAAUCUGUCUAAUAAUUGAUAAUCCACGAAUAAAUUUACUUAAUUUAUAAUUUUAUAUAUCGUUGUUAAAAAAAUAUUUUUUUAGGAAAAUAAUAUUUAAAAAUUUUUAUAAAAAAUUAAUUCAGAUCAAGAUGUAGAUUAUAAUUAAGAAUAUGAUGGAUUACAAUAAUAAAAAUUAAAUGAAUAAUGUUUUGUAAAUAAUAUUUGAAGGUGGAUUUAAAUGUAAUUUUAUUUAAUUUAAUAAAGUGAUUAUAAAUUAAAAUAUGUACAUAUUGCCCGUCGCUUUCAUUUAUAAAUUGAAAUAAGUCGUAACAUAGUAGAGGUACUGGAAAGUGUUUCUAGAAAGUU